RNAcentral lists this transfer RNA (68 nucleotides) under Suhpalacsa longialata. RNAcentral describes it as "tRNA-Ser". The record is from RNAcentral. Lineage: Eukaryota; Metazoa; Arthropoda; Insecta; Neuroptera; Myrmeleontidae. RNAcentral also lists the same sequence under 1 other name.
GAAAUAGGGUGAUCAAGAGAAAGCUGCUAACUUUUUUUCUUUAGUGGUUAAAUUCCAUUAAUAUUUCU